UAACACGUAGGGGACGAGCGUUGUCCGGAAUUACUGGGCGUAAAGGGCGCGCAGGCUGUGCGUCGAGUCGGCUGUUGAAAGGCGGGGCUCAACCCCGCGAAGCGGUCGAGACCGGCGUGCUGGAGUACUGCAGAGGCAGGCGGAAUUCCCGGUGUAGCGGUGAAAUGCGUAGAUAUCGGGAAGAACACCGGUGGCGAAGGCGGCCUGCUGGGCAGUAACUGACGCUGAGGCGCGAGAGCCAGGGUAGCGAACGGG
RNAcentral lists this ribosomal RNA (255 nucleotides) under uncultured bacterium. RNAcentral's name for it is "partial 16S ribosomal RNA". It matches the Rfam family "Bacterial small subunit ribosomal RNA", at positions 521 to 776 of the family's 1533-position model. The record is from RNAcentral.